CUAUAAUGCAGUCGAGCGAGCCGAACUAAUUGAUUACCUUCGGGUAUGAAGUUAGGGAAGCGAGCGGCGGAUGGGUGAGUAACACGUGGGUAACCUACCCUAUAGUCUGGGAUACCACUUGGAAACAGGUGCUAAUACCGGAUGAAAGGAGAGAUCACAUGAUUUCUUUUUGAAAGGCGGCGUAAGCUGUCGCUAAAGGAUGGACCCGCGGUGCAUUAGCUAGUUGGUAAGGUAACGGCUUACCAAGGCAACGAUGCAUAGCCGAGUUGAGAGACUGAUCGGCCACAUUGGGACUGAGACACGGCCCAAACUCCUACGGGAGGCAGCAGUAGGGAAUCUUCCACAAUGGACGCAAGUCUGAUGGAGCAACGCCGCGUGAGUGAAGAAGGUUUUCGGAUCGUAAAGCUCUGUUGUUGGUGAAGAAAGAUAGUGAGAGUAACUGCUCAUUAUUUGCCGGUAAUCAACCAGAAAGUCGCGGCUAACUACGUGCCAGCAGCCGCGGUAAUACGUAGGUGGCAAGCGUUGUCCGGAUUUAUUGGGCGUAAAGCGAGCGCAGGCGGAAAGAUAAGUCAGAUGUGAAAGCCCUCGGCUUAACCGAGGAAUAGCAUCGGAAACUGUCUUUCUUGAGUGCAGAAGAGGAGAGUGGAACUCCAUGUGUAGCGGUGGAAUGCGUAGAUAUAUGGAAGAACACCAGUGGCGAAGGCGGCUCUCUGGUCUGUAACUGACGCUGAGGCUCGAAAG
RNAcentral lists this ribosomal RNA (741 nucleotides) under uncultured bacterium. RNAcentral describes it as "bacterial SSU rRNA". It matches the Rfam family "Bacterial small subunit ribosomal RNA", at positions 51 to 759 of the family's 1533-position model. The record is from RNAcentral.